This 220-nucleotide ribosomal RNA is filed under the name uncultured bacterium. Its description in RNAcentral is "partial 16S ribosomal RNA". It matches the Rfam family "Bacterial small subunit ribosomal RNA", at positions 57 to 305 of the family's 1533-position model. The record is from RNAcentral.
GCAAGUCGAGCGCUACCUUCGGGUGGAGCGGCGGACGGGUUAGUAACGCGUGGGAACAUACCCUUCUCUAAGGAAUAGCCACUGGAAACGGUGAGUAAUACCUUAUACGCCCUUCGGGGGAAAGAUUUAUCGGAGAAGGAUUGGCCCGCGUUAGAUUAGAUAGUUGGUGGGGUAAUGGCUCACCAAGCCUACGAUCUAUAGCUGGUUUUAGAGGAUGAUC